UGUCUUUGAGUUGGGCAAUUGUCGUC
Molecule: small RNA, 26 nt
Filed under: Bombyx mori (domestic silkworm)
Lineage: Eukaryota; Metazoa; Arthropoda; Insecta; Lepidoptera; Bombycidae
Description: ovarian small RNA-9083
Source: RNAcentral